This 317-nucleotide long non-coding RNA is filed under the name Mytilus galloprovincialis (Mediterranean mussel). Lineage: Eukaryota; Metazoa; Mollusca; Bivalvia; Mytilida; Mytilidae. The record is from RNAcentral.
ACUUAGGUGAGGUUUUGGAAUAAGUGUCAAAUGUUCGGACUCCUUAGUGUUUUUCCAUACGAUACAAGGUAAAAUGUUUUGCCCCAUAACACCUAUUAAUCUUUUAACAUAAGACUUAAUAGCUCAUAAAAGGUCAUUGGACAAAAAUUAAGCAGAUUCUUGAUUUUCUUUCUUUUGAUUUGAGACCCAAAUAAUACCAAUGCAAAUAUAAGGUAAAAGUCCGAGUCAGCCUUUUCCCGCCAUAUUUUAUAGAUAAAAUAUAUCGAAAAGGAGCUCCAUGACCUAUCAAUAUUUUUAGAUUAUUUUUAUCCUUACCU